UGCCAGCAGCCGCGGUAAUACGAAGGUCCCAAGCGUUGUUCGGAAUCACUGGGCGUAAAGCGUGCGCAGGCGGCAUAGUAAGUCAGAUGUGAAAUCUCUGGGCUCAACCCGGAAACUGCAUCCGAUACUGCUAUGCUAGAGUAAUGGAGGGGUAGCUGGAAUUCUCGGUGUAGCAGUGAAAUGCGUAGAUAUCGAGAGGAACACUCGUGGCGAAGGCGAGCUACUGGACAAUUCCUGACGCUGAGGCACGAAAGCUAGGGGAGCAAACAGGAUUAGAUA
This 279-nucleotide ribosomal RNA is filed under the name uncultured bacterium. Its description in RNAcentral is "partial 16S ribosomal RNA". It matches the Rfam family "Bacterial small subunit ribosomal RNA", at positions 506 to 784 of the family's 1533-position model. The record is from RNAcentral.